This 429-nucleotide ribosomal RNA is filed under the name Chloroflexota bacterium. Its description in RNAcentral is "Chloroflexi bacterium partial 16S ribosomal RNA". It matches the Rfam family "Bacterial small subunit ribosomal RNA", at positions 355 to 776 of the family's 1533-position model. The record is from RNAcentral. Lineage: Bacteria; Bacillati; Chloroflexota.
UAGGGAAUCUUCGGCAAUGGACGAAAGUCUGACCGAGCAACGCCGCGUGAGUGAAGAAGGUUUUCGGAUCGUAAAACUCUGUUGUUAGAGAAGAACAAGGACGUUAGUAACUGAACGUCCCCUGACGGUAUCUAACCAGAAAGCCACGGCUAACUACGUGCCAGCAGCCGCGGUAAUACGUAGGUGGCAAGCGUUGUCCGGAUUUAUUGGGCGUAAAGCGAGCGCAGGCGGUUUCUUAAGUCUGAUGUGAAAGCCCCCGGCUCAACCGGGGAGGGUCAUUGGAAACUGGGGGACUUGAGAGCAGAAGAGGUGAGUGGAAUUGCAUGUGUAGCGGUGAAAUGCGUAGAUAUAUGGGGGAACACCAGUGGCGAAGGCGGCUCUCUGUUCUGUAACUGACGCUGAGGCUUGAAAGCGUGGGGAGCAAACAGG